RNAcentral lists this transfer RNA (63 nucleotides) under Rattus norvegicus (Norway rat). It matches the Rfam family "tRNA". From Rfam's summary of the family: Transfer RNA (tRNA) molecules are approximately 80 nucleotides in length. Their secondary structure includes four short double-helical elements and three loops (D, anti-codon, and T loops). Further hydrogen bonds mediate the characteristic L-shaped molecular structure. tRNAs have two regions of fundamental functional importance: the anti-codon, which is responsible for specific mRNA codon recognition, and the 3' end, to which the tRNAs corresponding amino acid is attached (by aminoacyl-tRNA synthetases). tRNAs cope with the degeneracy of the genetic code in two manners: having more than one tRNA (with a specific anti-codon) for a particular amino acid; and 'wobble' base-pairing, i.e. permitting non-standard base-pairing at the 3rd anti-codon position. The record is from Rfam by way of RNAcentral. Lineage: Eukaryota; Metazoa; Chordata; Mammalia; Rodentia; Muridae.
GGGGAUUUAGUUCAGUGGUAGAGCGCUUGCCUAGCAAGCGCAAGAACCUGGGUUCAGUCCCCA